Molecule: long non-coding RNA, 613 nt
Filed under: Arachis ipaensis
Lineage: Eukaryota; Viridiplantae; Streptophyta; Magnoliopsida; Fabales; Fabaceae
Description: long non-coding RNA (AIPA_LNC000103)
Source: RNAcentral
AGUGCUGUGCCUCCCACUACCCCUCUUUCGUUCGUUCCUUUGUUCUUCACUAAUCAAGUAAUCGGAAAGCUCAACUCAAAGAAAGAAAAAGUGAAAACCCUAGGUAGCCUCCACUGCCGCCGAACGGAGUGAGCCACUGCCGUCGUCCGUCGUUGUCCGAGGUUUCUCUCUUCGUCCUUCGGCGUUCUCCAAGUCUCCAACCGCUGUCCGGUCUCAGAUUCACCAAUCGCAAGGAGCAGCCGUGUUUGCCACCGUCCGCCGCAGUCAGGGCUUGUCUCUUUGAGUCUUCGUCGGCCGCACAGUGCUCACUUGUUCAUGUUUCUUUUUUAUGCUCUUUUCAGAUAUCAUUGAAAGAUUAUUGAAUGUUUAUGUUUUUAAUGAAUGAUUAUCUGAUUAAUGAUUAUUGAUUAGCUCUGGCUGCUCUGUUCUGCUGUUGUUUUGUGUUUUGUGAUCUUUUUGGGUAGUGAUGUGCUGCUGCUGAUGUGCUGGUUUGUGUUUUACUGUUUUGUGAUUUAAUUAUGCAUAAAUUGUGACUGUCUUAAUAAUUAAUUCAACUCCAAUAUUUUGUUCAAAACAUUCCCAACCUUGCUGUCCUUGAAUGCUGGAAAUAGAC